GGACCGUGGGUCCCUGAAGAGUAUAUGGAGACCUGACCACCUCACCCUGGUACCUGGAGCCCUCUGAGGUUGUUAACAACCCAGCCCGACUGUGGGCUUGCAAAGGGACAGAUUCCACCCACUUGGCUCCUUUCCUCCUUAGCCAGAAACCUUCAGAGGGAAAUGGAAGGAUGAGAAACACACUCCCUGGCCAGGCUUGUCUCCAGUCCUCACACACCACACACAGUGACAUACUUUCAUUAACCCAGCCAAACCCGCUCACAUGACUGGGAGUGUGUGGCAGGGGAAACAGACUGUUUUCUUCUAAAGUGGUUGGAGAGAGAAAACUCUUGAAACAUCUGUAACAAGAACCCCAUCCCCUAACCCUAGAGACCCUUAAAGAAGGAGAGGACUCCGUCCAGUGCUGGGUUCAAUGGAAGUGCCCACUGACCCCACGCUGGCCCCUGUAACGCACUGUGGUCCUGAAGUAAGAGGACUGAGAUGCCAGGUGAGGAGUCACAUCCCUGGAGAGGGUGACCCAGCUUCCUACAAACUUGUGGAAGAGACCUCUGAUUCCACUACCUAAAAGUUCAAAAGGUGAAAGUCCUUCACCCUUCGUCUAUCCUGUUCCCAAAGGGAUGACCCUCAAAUUCAAAGAUCGAAGUCAUAGAACGCUGUAGGAGGAAGAAGCGAGGCCUGCUGGGGAGAAGGAAAAGGCAGGCCUUGGAUGACUACGGGGAGACCCUUGUUAACAUCUGCAUAAAGCCCCGCCCCACCCAAGUGCCAGGUCAGAGAGCACCACCAAGAGGGGAGAAGAAGGCUGCCUGCCUCUACUGACAGCAUGGACCAAGGGGGUGUCCCUCUGAGACUGAGGAAGAGGAGACGAUUCUCCAAGCAGGUUUUUUUCCCUGUAAGAUGGCAGCAGAAAGAAACUUCAGUUGUAGAGACAAACCCCUUGUAAAGCUGGAAGCAGAUCCUCUCAGAAACAGGUCUGAGGAAUCUGUCUCCAGAAGGGUCCUGGAGAGCCCUUGGGGCUCCAGGGUCAGUCCAGGGGAAGAUGGUCAGUGUGGUCAAAGGCCGACUGAAGGCCAACUGAGGACUAGGGUGUAGCAUAUGUAGUAGGAUGCUCGCAUGUUGUAGGGUGAGGGCCAGAGGUCUUGGCUCCGGUACUGAAUGGAUGAUGUGGACACGAUUAGUUGGGGUCUGGGGUUUCAUAGCAAGAAAGGGGGCAGAGUCAGAGACCUUUGGGGCAUCACCUGUUCUCUGUUGCCCACCUCCCCAAACUCUUUUAGCUGGGUACUUUCCUCCCAGAGCAAGCUACAUCUUGGGAGGAACUAAACAGGGAACAGGCUGGGGGCGGUGGCAGUGUCCAGAGUCCCUCUGACCAGCUCAGGCCAAGGCCCAGGGGUCGUGGCACUUUCCCACCAGAACUGGGUCUGGAAGGCAGAGCGUAGCCAAACCCUCUCGUUCAACUCCACGCAAGCCUGACUCUUAAGAAGUGCCCUCGUGGAGGAGUGCGACACAGGGUCACAGCGUCAUUGGUGAAAGCAGAGGGGAGAAUAGAAACUGAUCUGAGCUUAGGCUGAAACUUGAAACUGCUAUGGAUAUGGAGGUCAGAAGGGAGCAUGGGCAUGAAUCCUGAAUGGUGGGGCAACUCGAAACCAUCCCAACCAAGAGGUGGGUUCCAUGGCACCCGCCCCUCAGGUGAGCAGCCCCGACUCCUUUGCCCCCGUGAGGGAAGCCCCACUCACCUGACUUGUCCCCCCUGGAGUGAAAAGAGGCCCCACUUUUGAGUGUUGUGUGUCAAUAACAGUGUUGUGUCACUGGUGGUCAUGUUGAAUAGUUGAAGAGAAUAAAGGGAAUAAGAUUUC
Molecule: long non-coding RNA, 1850 nt
Organism: Phocoena sinus (vaquita)
Lineage: Eukaryota; Metazoa; Chordata; Mammalia; Artiodactyla; Phocoenidae
Source: Ensembl